RNAcentral lists this ribosomal RNA (646 nucleotides) under uncultured Marinomonas sp. Its description in RNAcentral is "bacterial SSU rRNA". It matches the Rfam family "Bacterial small subunit ribosomal RNA", at positions 56 to 692 of the family's 1533-position model. Lineage: Bacteria; Pseudomonadati; Pseudomonadota; Gammaproteobacteria; Oceanospirillales; Oceanospirillaceae. The record is from RNAcentral.
UGCAGUCGAGCGGUAACAGGAAUUAGCUUGCUAAUUUGCUGACGAGCGGCGGACGGGUGAGUAACGCGUAGGAAUCUGCCUGGUAGUGGGGGACAACAUGUGGAAACGCAUGCUAAUACCGCAUACGCCCUACGGGGGAAAGGAGGGGAUCUUCGGACCUUUCGCUAUCAGAUGAGCCUGCGUGAGAUUAGCUAGUUGGUGGGGUAAAGGCUCACCAAGGCGACGAUCUCUAGCUGGUCUGAGAGGAUGAUCAGCCACACUGGGACUGAGACACGGCCCAGACUCCUACGGGAGGCAGCAGUGGGGAAUAUUGGACAAUGGGGGCAACCCUGAUCCAGCCAUGCCGCGUGUGUGAAGAAGGCCUUAGGGUUGUAAAGCACUUUCAGGAGUGAGGAAGGGUGUACGGUUAAUACCUGUAUAUCUUGACGUUAGCUUCAGAAGAAGCACCGGCUAACUCUGUGCCAGCAGCCGCGGUAAUACAGAGGGUGCGAGCGUUAAUCGGAAUUACUGGGCGUAAAGCGCGCGUAGGCGGUUUGUUAAGUCGGAUGUGAAAUCCCCGGGCUCAACCUGGGAAUUGCACCCGAUACUGGCAGGCUAGAGUACGGUAGAGGGGUGUGGAAUUUCCUGUGUAGCGGUGAAAUGCGUA